Molecule: ribosomal RNA, 377 nt
Filed under: uncultured bacterium
Lineage: Bacteria
Description: bacterial SSU rRNA
Rfam family: Bacterial small subunit ribosomal RNA
Source: RNAcentral
AUUGAACGCUGGCGGCAUGCCUUACACAUGCAAGUCGAACGGCAGCGGGCCUUCGGGUGCCGGCGAGUGGCGAACGGGUGAGUAAUGCAUCGGAACGUGCCAUUGAGUGGGGGAUAACGUAGCGAAAGUUGCGCUAAUACCGCAUAUUCUGUGAGCAGGAAAGCAGGGGACCGCAAGGCCUUGCGCUCUUUGAGCGGCCGAUGUCAGAUUAGCUAGUUGGUGGGUAAAGGCCUACCAAGGCGACGAUCUGUAGCGGGUCUGAGAGGAUGAUCCGCCACACUGGAACUGAGACACGGUCCAGACUCCUACGGGAGGCAGCAGUGGGGAAUUUGGACAAUGGGGCAACCCUGAUCCAGCCAUGCCGCGUGAGUGAAGAA